UACAGAGAGUGCAAGCGUUAAUCGGAAUUAUUGGGCGUAAAGCGCACGUAGGCGGACACUUAAGUCGGAUGUGAAAGCCCUAGGCUUAACCUGGGAACUGCAUUCGAUACUGGGUAUCUGGAGUAUGGUAGAGGAUAGUGGAAUUUCCGGUGUAGCGGUGAAAUGCGUAGAUAUCGGAAAGAACACCAGUGGCGAAGGCGACUAUCUGGACCAAUACUGACGCUGAGGUGCGAAAGCGUGGGGAGCAAACAGG
This 253-nucleotide unclassified non-coding RNA is filed under the name uncultured Gammaproteobacteria bacterium. Its description in RNAcentral is "contains 16S-23S intergenic spacer region". It matches the Rfam family "Bacterial small subunit ribosomal RNA", at positions 524 to 776 of the family's 1533-position model. Lineage: Bacteria; Pseudomonadati; Pseudomonadota; Gammaproteobacteria. The record is from RNAcentral.